RNAcentral lists this long non-coding RNA (269 nucleotides) under Carica papaya (papaya). RNAcentral describes it as "long non-coding RNA (CPAP_LNC013696)". The record is from RNAcentral. Lineage: Eukaryota; Viridiplantae; Streptophyta; Magnoliopsida; Brassicales; Caricaceae.
AUUAGCUGAAGGCGUGCGUUGCAGAGAAGCCAUUUGCGUUGUUUGUGUCUUAAUGGCAGCUAGUGAAGGUGAAAACGAAGGAAGAGUAUAGGAAAACAGAGUGGUGUAUGCGUAUGAGCUCUGUGGUGGAGAGCUGAUAUCGAUCAGCAGUUUAUCUUUUUCCUUCUGUUUAUCCAUUUGAAGAGAAAUAAUUAUUUUUUAAAAUUGAUAAAUAAUUAUUUUAUCAUAUAAUAUUUUCUUUAUUUUUUUGAAUGGAGGAUGAAACCCCU